This 88-nucleotide non-coding RNA is filed under the name Streptomyces acidiscabies. Its description in RNAcentral is "ZTP sequence". It matches the Rfam family "ZMP/ZTP riboswitch aptamer (pfl RNA motif)". Rfam says of the family: Previously known as pfl RNA. Lineage: Bacteria; Bacillati; Actinomycetota; Actinomycetes; Kitasatosporales; Streptomycetaceae. The record is from Rfam by way of RNAcentral.
ACCGAGGGCCGUGACUGGCGCGCUGGGAUGGGACCGACCAUCGGGGAGCGGCCUGGAACGACAAGUGCCGUGCGCCUGGGCCGAACCU